This 79-nucleotide non-coding RNA is filed under the name Heterosigma akashiwo. Lineage: Eukaryota; Raphidophyceae; Chattonellales; Chattonellaceae. The record is from RNAcentral.
UUUUUCUUUCUUUCCCUUUUUUCUUUUUUUUUCUUCUUUUUCUAAAUGCAGAAAACUGAAAGACUAAAGAAAAAUAGUG